GACAGAGGGUGCAAACGUUGUUCGGAUUUACUGGGCGUAAAGCGCGUGUAGGCGGCCUUGCAAGUCGGAUGUGAAAGCCCACGGCUCAACCGUGGAAGUGCAUCCGAAACUGCAUAGCUUGAGUCUCGGAGAGGAAGGUGGAAUGCUUGGUGUAGAGGUGAAAUUCGUAGAUAUCAAGCAGAACACCUGCGGCGAAGGCGGCCUUCUGGACGAUGACUGACGCUGAGGCGCGAAAGCUAGGGGAGCAAACGGG
Molecule: ribosomal RNA, 253 nt
Filed under: uncultured bacterium
Lineage: Bacteria
Description: partial 16S ribosomal RNA
Rfam family: Bacterial small subunit ribosomal RNA
Source: RNAcentral